This 619-nucleotide ribosomal RNA is filed under the name uncultured Actinomycetes bacterium. RNAcentral describes it as "SSU rRNA". It matches the Rfam family "Bacterial small subunit ribosomal RNA", at positions 242 to 872 of the family's 1533-position model. Lineage: Bacteria; Bacillati; Actinomycetota; Actinomycetes. The record is from RNAcentral.
CAGCUUGUUGGUGGGGUAACGGCCUACCAAGGCGACGACGGGUAGCCGGCCUGAGAGGGCGACCGGCCACACUGGGACUGAGACACGGCCCAGACUCCUACGGGAGGCAGCAGUGGGGAAUAUUGCGCAAUGGGCGAAAGCCUGACGCAGCGACGCCGCGUGCGGGAUGAAGGCCUUCGGGUUGUAAACCGCUUUCAGCAGGGACGAAGCGAAAGUGACGGUACCUGCAGAAGAAGCGCCGGCUAACUACGUGCCAGCAGCCGCGGUAACACGUAGGGCGCAAGCGUUGUCCGGAAUUAUUGGGCGUAAAGAGCUCGUAGGUGGCCCGCCACGUCUGCUGUGAAAAUCCAGGGCUUAACCCUGGACUUGCAGUGGAUACGGGCGGGCUAGAGGUAGGUAGGGGAGAAUGGAAUUCCCGGUGUAGCGGUGAAAUGCGCAGAUAUCGGGAGGAACACCGGUGGCGAAGGCGGUUCUCUGGGCCUUACCUGACACUGAGGAGCGAAAGCGUGGGGAGCGAACAGGAUUAGAUACCCUGGUAGUCCACGCCGUAAACGUUGGGCGCUAGGUGUGGGGUCCUUCCACGGAUUCCGUGCCGCAGCUAACGCAUUAAGCGCCCCGC